RNAcentral lists this non-coding RNA (812 nucleotides) under Spodoptera exigua (beet armyworm). Lineage: Eukaryota; Metazoa; Arthropoda; Insecta; Lepidoptera; Noctuidae. The record is from RNAcentral.
AUAAAUAAAUUUUUUAUGGUUUUAAUAAUUUAUUUAAAAUUUAUUUUACAUAUAAAUUUUAGUGUUAAUUUUACUUUAUUUUAAUAAUAAUUUAAUUUAUUUGUAGUAAUUAAUAUUAAAUAAUUUAAGAAAUUAAGAUUUAGUAAUAUUUGAAUUAAUAACAAAUUUUGUGCCAGCAGUUGCGGUUAAACAAAAGUUAAUUUAAAUUUUAUUAGUAAUUAAUAAAUAAUUGAAAAUUUAUAAUAAUUUUAUUAUAAAUUAAAAUAAUAUAAAUUUUAAAUUAUUAGGUGAAAUUUUAAUUUAAUUUAAUAUUAUAAUGUAUUUAUGAUUUAAUAAAUUUUAUAAAAAACUAGGAUUAGAUACCCUAUUAUUAAAAUUUAAAUUGAAAAUACUAAAAUAGUAGGUAAUUAUUUAUUGAAACUUAAAUAAUUUGGCGGUAUUUUAGUUCAUUUAGAGGAAUCUGUUUAUUAAUUGAUAAUCCACGAAUAAAUUUACUUAAUUUUUUUAUUUUGUAUAUCGUUGUUAAAAAAAUAUUUUUUAAUAAUAAUAAUAUUUAAAAAUUUAAAUUGAAAAUUAAAUCAGAUCAAGAUGCAGAUUAUAAUUAAGAAUAUAAUGGAUUACAAUAAAUUUAUUUAAAUGGAUAUUAAUUUGUAAAAAUUAAUUAAAGGUGGAUUUAAAUGUAAUUUUAUUUAGUUUAAUAAAAUGAUUGAAAAUUGAAAUAUGUACAUAUUGCCCGUCGCUUUCAUAUAUUAAAAAUUGGAAUAAGUCGUAACAAAGUAGAGGUACUGGAAAGUGUUUCUAGAAAGAACAAA